Long non-coding RNA from Apodemus sylvaticus (European woodmouse), 1042 nucleotides. RefSeq lists it as uncharacterized. The record is from RefSeq and is a predicted model, not a curated record. NCBI's taxonomy places the organism in Eukaryota, Metazoa, Chordata, Mammalia, Rodentia, Muridae. The transcript has 3 exons.
CUAGAAGAAGAAACCUAAGGGGACCAGACCUGAACAGCUGUAGGAGCAUCUAGGAGGCUCAGCCACUGCUGCUGGGCUCUGAGGAAGGAAGAGAGCUGGCCCCAGAGCACUGGGGAUAACGCACCCCUCCUCCCCCCACUUUCCCAAUGCCAGCCUCUAGGCAGUCAGGGCUGGACCUAGAUUUUGGAGGACUUGGAGUUCCUCCACAGCCAGCUCAGACCAGAGUUAUGCUGACAACUCACAGCAAAAUUCAGACAGUCUGUGAGCAGCCCUCCUACUGUGUUCAGCCUGGAUCACCCUGGCACCAGAAAACCUGCUUAUCUUCAGCAAAGGAGCCUUUGGUCUCCUCCACCUUGGAUGACUGACAAUUCCAGAUUGAAGCCAUCCCUAGGGGGGAGAUACAGAAAGGGGACUGGAAACCCAACAGCCAUCUAGGCAGCCACAACCUCCUGUUUGCCUGCCUGAGCACCUCUCAGGCCAGGCUAUGGAGGACCACCCUGCUUGCCCAAGCCUGGAGGCUCAACAGCCAGCAGGCCACUUGGAGCAGUUUGGAAAAAGGGAUGGAGCUGGGAGCUUCAGAACUGAUGGGAGCUGCAAAAGAGAGUGGGGUUCAACCCCAGCAGAAUCAUCCCAGUCUCUGCCAAGGUUUCUGAUCCUGGAGCCUGAACCACAGCAGUAGAAACUAAAUGUCUCCCAGUGUAGACACUGAACGCUAGUCCUAGGACAAUGUCCUCCAUCGAAGCAGAGAUCAAAGAAGCUGUGAGGAAAGAAGGAGGCUGAGAGCAGAGCUGCAGCAGGCCAUUCAGAAAGGGGAACUUGAAGAGAACCCCUGGCUCAGGAGGAAGGAAGGCAUGGAACUGGAGAUAACCUGAGAACUUGCUUGUGUCUCAGUCUUCAGAGAACUGCAGGAAAGAUCUGAACACCCUGAUGGGUGGUGUAUCUACUGUACCUCCCAAUACAUGCACCCUGACUUCAAUUGAUGGAGUAUCAGCAUAGAAGCUUUUUCUAUGUUUAUUAAUGAAUUUGUUCAUUUAUUCAUCCA